RNAcentral lists this ribosomal RNA (459 nucleotides) under uncultured bacterium. Its description in RNAcentral is "partial 16S ribosomal RNA". It matches the Rfam family "Bacterial small subunit ribosomal RNA", at positions 338 to 795 of the family's 1533-position model. The record is from RNAcentral.
CCUACGGGAGGCUGCAGUGAGGAAUAUUGGUCAAUGGUCGGGAGACUGAACCAGCCAAGCCGCGUGAGGGAUGAAGGUACAGAGUAUCGUAAACCUCUUUUGUCAGGGAACAAAGGCGGGGACGUGUCCCCGGAUGAGUGUACCUGAAGAAAAAACAUCGGCUAACCCGGUGCCAGCAGCCGCGGUAAUACGGAGGAUGCGAGCGUUAUCCGGAUUUAUUGGGUUAAAAGGGUGCGCAGGCGGUCUGUUCAGUCAGCGUUCAAAGCCCGGGGUUCAACCCCGGCCCGCCGUUGAAACUGGCAGUGUUGAGUGGGAGAGAAGUAUGCGGAAUGCGCGGGGUAGCGGUGAAAUGCAUAGAUAUCGCGCAGAACUCCGAUUGCGAAGGCAGCAUGCCGGCUCCACACUGACGCUGAGGCACGAAAGCGUGGGUAUCGAACAGGAUUAGAUACCCGAGUAGUC